This is a long non-coding RNA of Quercus lobata, 590 nucleotides long. RefSeq lists it as uncharacterized. NCBI's taxonomy places the organism in Eukaryota, Viridiplantae, Streptophyta, Magnoliopsida, Fagales, Fagaceae. The transcript has 3 exons. The record is from RefSeq and is a predicted model, not a curated record.
UCUUCUUUUGACAAAGAGUUUGAGAGAGAUCACGGGUUCUUCUGUCUAGCCACCUCUCUCAAACCUUCAUGGCUCCUGUGUUUGGUAUUCAAAUCAGGAUUUUGAUUUUUAAUCAUUUUCCUCUCUAUUGGUUGAAGUCACUGGAACCUAGAAAGAUCAAAUCCUACACCUACAUGACCUUCAUUGAGUCCUGAAGAAUGGAGGAAGUUCUUUUGGAGCAACUUAAGAAGUCCAAAAUAUAGAUUGUCCACAAAUGUUUGUCGCAAGAGAAAAUCACAUAAGAUCGAUCACACAUGCAAUGACUCAGGGAGUCAAGCGGCUCUGGAGUGAUAUAUUUCUUAAGAAGUUAUUGUCUUGCAGUUAGAAGCUUUAUCUAGUUAGUUUCAACUAUAAAAUAGUUAAUUUUCUUCUUUUGACAAAUAGGGGUAGAUGUCUUGAACUAAGCUGAGGUUUUUUUAGAUUUCUGUAAAUGCUAAGGCUAAUAAGGCAUUUCAACAAAAUUUUCAGUUCAUUUGAUGUGCUAGGGUGGUAAUGCAAAAUGCAAAUUACCUUGAUAUAAUGUGGAGAACUGAAAGAUUAAUAAAAAAAGA